RNAcentral lists this ribosomal RNA (442 nucleotides) under uncultured bacterium. Its description in RNAcentral is "bacterial SSU rRNA". It matches the Rfam family "Bacterial small subunit ribosomal RNA", at positions 958 to 1398 of the family's 1533-position model. The record is from RNAcentral.
AACGCGAAGAACCUUACCUGGGCUCGAAAUGCAGGAGACCGGGGUAGAAAUAUCCUUUCCUCGCAAGAGGCUGCUGUAUAGGUGCUGCAUGGCUGUCGUCAGCUCGUGCCGUGAGGUGUUGGGUUAAGUCCCGCAACGAGCGCAACCCUUAUCAUUAGUUGCCAACACGAAAGGUGGGUACUCUAGUGAGACUGCCUGGGUUAACCAGGAGGAAGGUGAGGAUGAUGUCAAGUCCGCAUGGCCUUUAUGUCCAGGGCUACACACGUGCUACAAUGGUCGGUACAGAGGGCUGCAAAUCCGCAAGGUAGAGCAAAUCCCAGAAAGCCGAUCUCAGUUCAGAUUGUGGUCUGCAACUCGACCACAUGAAGUUGGAAUUGCUAGUAAUGGCGUGUCAGCAACAACGCCGUGAAUACGUUCCCGGGCCUUGUACACACCGGUACUA